This 228-nucleotide long non-coding RNA is filed under the name Gossypium raimondii (Peruvian cotton). Its description in RNAcentral is "long non-coding RNA (GRAI_LNC009874)". Lineage: Eukaryota; Viridiplantae; Streptophyta; Magnoliopsida; Malvales; Malvaceae. The record is from RNAcentral.
UGAUAUUUGAUGUAGAAAAAUGGUAAUGCAUUAGUUGACAUGAAAAAAAUAUUGUCAUGAAAGUUGAUAGGUUGGCCUGAAAAGAUGAUAAUGAUAUACACGUAAUUAAAUAUUUUAAAAAUAAAAAUUUAAAGAAAUUUAAAAUUUUCUUAAAAAUCAUGAAAAAGUUUAAGAAAUUAUAAAAUGAAAAAUAAAAACUUAAGAAAAAAAAAUCAAUCAACAUUGUAC